CAAGCCUGAAAAUAAAUGUACAAUAUAGAUGAAAAUGGUAGGCUUGCUGAGCAAUGCAAGCCAUGCCCCCAGGCUCCAGUGUUACCAGUCUCCCUGUCUCUCCAACCCCUGCCCUGUGAUGGGAAUCGCAAGACCAGUCAUGUACGUGCUCCACUUCAGUGUCUGGGUUACCUGUCCUCUCCCUUCAACACAAUGUUAACAAUCUGCAAGCAAGUUCAUCCCCCUGCACGAGGCUUGAUGUCAGAAAUGGAGGUGUCAGCAAGGCCAGGUUCCCUCUGAAGUCCUUCUAGCUUCUGGCAGCCCCAGAUGUUCCUCAGGUUGUGGCAACUUAAUUCCAGUCUCCGCUUCUGUCUUCACAUGGCUGUCUCGUAUAUCCUCUUCUUACAAGGACGCCGGUCGUUCUGAGUGAGGGCCCACCUUAGCGACCUCAUCUUAAAUUGAUCACAUUGCAAGGACACUAUACUGUCUCAUUCACAGGUCCCAGGGGUUGGGACUUCAACACAUCUUGAGAGGGGUGCAGUUCAGCCCAGGACAGCAGGUAAUGUGACUUUGGGAGCUCUGAGGCAGGGCAGAGACAUCCUGGAGGAGGUGAGAAAACCCUCAGACUUCCCCUGAGGGUUGGGGCAUGUGAUCACCAGCGAAGGACUGAUUUGUCCUCAGUGUACCAUGUCUUGUCCAUCUGUGUCAGACAGAGCUUGGCACAAUGCCUGGCACACAGCAGGAGCUCAAUAAAUGCUUGCGCAAAGCUGAUGCUGCCGGGACUGAGAGCUGGCCCUGGAGCAAACCCUGCCUUGGCAUCCAACUGUCUCAUGGUGAGCAGCUCCCUCCAUCUGGGCAGGACCAUUUUGAGAUGAAGAGCUGAACACAGAAGCAGAAGGGCUGGUCAGUGGAUGCUGCCUUUGUCCAGGCAGGAGAUGUGUGAGGCAUGGCCUCAGGGGAUGAUGGUGGAAAGUGGAGGAAGACAUGAAGAGUAUUUCUGGUGUGCUGGUCAACGUUUAACAACUGGCUCCCUGGGUGGGGGGAUGUCUAAGUUGUAGUGUUUGCUAAUACCACGGUAUGAAGUCUCCCACUAUGACAGAUUUCAAGCUGCUGAUGGAAAUGUGGAGCUGGGCCCCCACAGGCUGGUAGGAGCCGGUUUCUGCAUUAGCAGGGUCUGUGAUUGACUGGAAGCAGGAUGAGGGAGCUUCUGGUGUUGGGCCUGGGCUGCAGGUGGAUGCUGGGGCCAUUUCCUGCACCAAGGGGCAGAUCCUCAUUGAGUCGGAGAUACCUAUGGGUGUCCUGAGUGUAGACAUCCAGAGGGCAGACCUGGGUGGGGAGGACAAGCCCAGGGGCUGUGUGUGUGCAAGCUCAUGUUCCCCGGCCUGCAGCUCUCCGGCAGGUCAGGGGGUGGGACCAACACCUCUCAGGGACAGAAAGCAGGCCUGAGGCACAGCGCCAGCCGCAGCAGCGGGCCUGGCCUGAGUCCUGCCUUUGUCCAGAGCCUGCAGGGAGCCACAGCUUGGGCUCCGAGUGGCCGGUGGGACUGAUGAAGUGACUCCUCUUGUUUGACUAUCAGGGCACCCGGGCCUUCUCCAAACUGCUCUGCGGGAGGGGCCUAAUCUGGCUUAAAUAUUGGUGAAUUCCCGCCAGGGGUUCCCAGGAAAUAAAAAUGAAUGAGUCACGCUGGAGAAUGAUGCUGAGGUUGCCCCACUGAGGGGUUGCCUGUUUGCAGGAAAAGUGCCAUCAAUACUGACUGGACAGGCCCUGUGACAGGGUCUUGGUCACUGGAACCAAGUCAGGCUAUUGGAGGCCACAAGCAAGGCAGCCUCGUUACUGUGGUGGCUCAGCCGCAAGAUGAUGAUCUGCCCAGGUGUAGCCAGCUUCAGGAGGUGCCGUUCUGGCCGCAGCGUCUAUUACUGAGCUGGCCUGUGACUGCGAGGCCCAUCACAGAUGUUGCCUGUGAAGCCCAGGAGAACCGCAAAGGAAGGGGGUCCCAGCCACCUUCCCCAGCCCCUCGCGGCACCUGCCCUAACCUGCUGCAGGGGCCAAUCUUUCCAGAGGGAGGCGCUCCAGUCCCCAGUGGGGAGUCAGGCUCCUGCAAGUGAGAUGGUAAACUGCUGCCGGCGGCUCAGGAGUGGACCCUGGGAAGAGUGGGGUGGCGGUCCCUGCCAUCCACUGAGAGGCCCCUGAGUCUAUGAGGCAGGCCUGCCCUCCCCAGCCCUGACCCAAGCAGUGGAUGAGCAGGGAAAUGAGAAGGGUCAACCAACCUGCGCUCUCAGGACAAGGAGAGGGAAUCAGUGGCACGGAGGCGGAGAGGCGGCCCCUCUUGGCUGUGUGCAUUUCCUGCUGAAUUAGGACUCCCAGCUGGAUUACCAGGCCCGUGCUAUGGGCACCUCUUGGCAGUCGUGGAUACGCUGUUCCAAGAAACGAAAGCAGGCUGGCUUGUGCCUCUUGUGAGGCGGAGAUGAGGACCUGCCCGUGGAGGUGUGCAUGGGCCAUCCUCUCCAGGAUGAAUGGUUCACGAGCUGGGUGAGAGCUGCUCAGCCCACCGAGGCAUCCUCUGCAGGAUUAAACGUCAUUCCUUCUAAUGACUUGAUUUAUGUCUGGAGGUUUACAGCUCCAAACAAAAUAUUGUGAUGAUGGUAAUAAAUCAC
Non-coding RNA from Manis javanica (Malayan pangolin), 2633 nucleotides. NCBI's taxonomy places the organism in Eukaryota, Metazoa, Chordata, Mammalia, Pholidota, Manidae. The record is from RefSeq and is a predicted model, not a curated record.